Molecule: ribosomal RNA, 252 nt
Filed under: uncultured bacterium
Lineage: Bacteria
Description: partial 16S ribosomal RNA
Rfam family: Bacterial small subunit ribosomal RNA
Source: RNAcentral
UACAGAGGUCUCAAGCGUUGUUCGGAUCAUUGGGCGUAAAGGGGGCGUAGGCGGCGCGGUAAGUCGGGUGUGAAAUCUCGGAGCUUAACUCCGAAACUGCAUUCGAUACUGCCGUGCUUGAGGACUGGAGAGGAGACUGGAAUUUACGGUGUAGCGGUGAAAUGCGUAGAUAUCGUAAGGAAGACCAGUGGCGAAGGCGGGUCUCUGGACAGUUCCUGACGCUGAGGCACGAAGGCCAGGGGAGCAAACGGG